This 253-nucleotide ribosomal RNA is filed under the name uncultured bacterium. RNAcentral describes it as "partial 16S ribosomal RNA". It matches the Rfam family "Bacterial small subunit ribosomal RNA", at positions 524 to 776 of the family's 1533-position model. The record is from RNAcentral.
UACGUAGGUGGCAAGCGUUGUCCGGAUUUACUGGGCGUAAAGGGCGUGCAGGCGGUCUGUUAAGUGCAGGGUGAAAGCUCCCGGCUCAACUGGGAGAGGUCCUUGCAUACUGGCGGACUUGAGGGGGGUAGAGGAAAGUGGAAUUCCCGGUGUAGUGGUGAUAUGCGUAGAUAUCGGGAGGAACACCUGUGGCGAAGGCGGCCCACUGGGCUGUCACUGACGCUGAGGCGCGAAAGCUCGGGGAGCGAACGGG